GAGGGUAUAGCUCAGGGAUUAGAGCACAUGCUUAGCAUGCACAAGGUCCUGGGUUCAAUCCCCAAUACCUCUU
RNAcentral lists this transfer RNA (73 nucleotides) under Camelus bactrianus (Bactrian camel). It matches the Rfam family "tRNA". From Rfam's summary of the family: Transfer RNA (tRNA) molecules are approximately 80 nucleotides in length. Their secondary structure includes four short double-helical elements and three loops (D, anti-codon, and T loops). Lineage: Eukaryota; Metazoa; Chordata; Mammalia; Artiodactyla; Camelidae. The record is from Rfam by way of RNAcentral. RNAcentral also lists the same sequence under 1 other name.